RNAcentral lists this long non-coding RNA (637 nucleotides) under Capsicum annuum. RNAcentral describes it as "long non-coding RNA (CANN_LNC022065)". The record is from RNAcentral. Lineage: Eukaryota; Viridiplantae; Streptophyta; Magnoliopsida; Solanales; Solanaceae.
UGGGAGGCUUUAUUCUAAGCAUUAUUGGGAGCAAAAAUCCCUAAUUUCUUUGAGACAUUAUUAUGAUUAUGUAAUAGUGCAUGCGAUAGAAUUGGAGCAUUACUGUAUAUGUUGGGAAUCUUACCAUCUGAUAUAGCACUGGUAGUUACUUUGUUAGGACCUUCUAUAGAGUGACGUAUGGGGGCAUUCCGACACCUCCAUUUCCUGAAAGCUGCCAUUAGUAGACUUCUCCUUCUGCAUUGUAUGCAUCUCUGAUGUUCCAUGAUAAUUUUCAUAAUAACCAGUGUUGUUGUGUGCCUCCAAUUGAGCUUGAGAGAUAAUGGUUUGAGCCCAAGUCAAUUGUUUAGCUGAAACUCGAUUCGAUAACACACUGUGACUCUACAUUGGCGAAGAUAAUUAUGGGAAAUGGUUAGCUGGUGGUUUAUAAGGGGAAGUCAUAUUAGCAUGUACCCAUUGUGGAGAUGUAUCCGGUGACCGUAGCGGCUCUGCCAGCAGCGGCACAGCCAUAACUGCUGGCUUCACUAAGUGAAAACUGAAAACCGUCAAGAGAGAGAAUUUUUACAGUAAUGAUCGAUUCACCCCGAUGAAAACUUAAAAUAUUGUUAUACAAAUUUCAGAAGUAUAAAUAUAAUAAUAU